CCUACGGGAGGCAGCAGUGAGGAAUAUUUGUCAAUGGACGAGAGUCUGAACCAGCCAAGUAGCGUGAAGGAUGACUGCCCUAUGGGUUGUAAACUUCUUUUAUAUGGGAAUAAAAUGUUCCACGUGUGGGAUUUUGUAUGUACCAUAUGAAUAAGGAUCGGCUAACUCCGUGCCAGCAGCCGCGGUAAUACGGAGGAUCCGAGCGUUAUCCGGAUUUAUUGGGUUUAAAGGGAGCGUAGGUGGAUUGUUAAGUUAGUUUUGAAAGUUUGCGGCUCAACCGUAAAAUUGCAGUUGAAACUGGCAGUCUUGAGUACAGUAGAGGUGGGCGGAAUUCGUGGUGUAGCGGUGAAAUGCUUAGAUAUCACGAAGAACUCCGAUUGCGAAGGCAGCCUACUAAACUGCCACUGACAUUGAUGCUCGAAAGUGUGGGUAUCAAACAGGAUUAGAUACCCCUGUAGUC
This 460-nucleotide ribosomal RNA is filed under the name uncultured bacterium. RNAcentral's name for it is "partial 16S ribosomal RNA". It matches the Rfam family "Bacterial small subunit ribosomal RNA", at positions 338 to 795 of the family's 1533-position model. The record is from RNAcentral.